GAGGUUUUGAUCAUUUGAUUGCACGGUCGAGGUCGAACAGAGGGGAUUAACAAUGGGAUUCUUGGUGACGUCCCUGAUUUUCGCCGUGAUUGGAGUCAUCGCAUGUUUUUGCACCCUAAUUUGCUGUAAUAGAGGCGCUUCGACUAAUUUGUUUCACCUUACUUUGAUCAUUACUGCAACAAUAUGCUGCUGGAUGAUGUGGGCAAUUGUAUAUCUUGCACAAAUGAAG
RNAcentral lists this unclassified non-coding RNA (229 nucleotides) under Hevea brasiliensis (rubber tree). The record is from RNAcentral. Lineage: Eukaryota; Viridiplantae; Streptophyta; Magnoliopsida; Malpighiales; Euphorbiaceae.